RNAcentral lists this transfer RNA (77 nucleotides) under Proteus phage 1. Its description in RNAcentral is "tRNA-Leu". It matches the Rfam family "tRNA". From Rfam's summary of the family: Transfer RNA (tRNA) molecules are approximately 80 nucleotides in length. Their secondary structure includes four short double-helical elements and three loops (D, anti-codon, and T loops). Further hydrogen bonds mediate the characteristic L-shaped molecular structure. tRNAs have two regions of fundamental functional importance: the anti-codon, which is responsible for specific mRNA codon recognition, and the 3' end, to which the tRNAs corresponding amino acid is attached (by aminoacyl-tRNA synthetases). tRNAs cope with the degeneracy of the genetic code in two manners: having more than one tRNA (with a specific anti-codon) for a particular amino acid; and 'wobble' base-pairing, i.e. permitting non-standard base-pairing at the 3rd anti-codon position. Lineage: Duplodnaviria; Heunggongvirae; Uroviricota; Caudoviricetes; Demerecviridae. The record is from RNAcentral. RNAcentral also lists the same sequence under 2 other names.
GCCGAGGUGACGGAAUAGGCAUACGUACUGUGCUUAAAACGCAGGUUCUGUGGGUUCGAUCCCCGCCCUCGGCACCA